RNAcentral lists this transfer RNA (74 nucleotides) under Pseudomonadota bacterium. RNAcentral describes it as "Proteobacteria bacterium (marine metagenome) tRNA-Arg". It matches the Rfam family "tRNA". Rfam says of the family: Transfer RNA (tRNA) molecules are approximately 80 nucleotides in length. The record is from RNAcentral. Lineage: Bacteria; Pseudomonadati; Pseudomonadota.
GCUCCCGUAGCUCAGCUGGAUAGAGCAACGGCCUUCUAAGCCGUGGGUCGCAGGUUCGAGUCCUGCCGGGGGCG